GUGACAGUCAUCUGCAGGGGCUUGGGUGGCCCAUCAGGCGAGGCUUUCUCGGCACCCGAGGCUCCAGCCUGAUCUCGGUCUUAUCCUGCGACCGGGCUGGUUCUGGCGGGUCGCCAGGGUGGGCGGCGGCCCCAGCCGGGCGCCCCGGCGGCAAGAGCGGCAGGCUGCGCCCCUGGCCCGCGCCUAGCCUGGGGAGAGAGCUGGGCGGGCGGCGGGAGCUGCUCUCGCGGGCCGCGGCCCUCGCCCUGGCUGCAACGGCUGAGAUGGAUCUUGAGGCGGCAAAGAACGGAACAGCCUGGCGCCCCACGAGCGCGGAGGGCGACUUUGAACUGGGCAUCAGCAGCAAACAAAAAAGGAAAAAAACGAAGACAGUGAAAAUGAUUGGAGUAUUAACAUUGUUUCGAUACUCCGAUUGGCAGGAUAAAUUGUUUAUGUCGCUGGGUACCAUCAUGGCCAUAGCUCACGGAUCAGGUCUCCCCCUCAUGAUGAUAGUAUUUGGAGAGAUGACUGACAAAUUUGUUGAUACUGCAGGAAACUUCUCCUUUCCAGUGAACUUUUCCUUGUCGCUGCUAAAUCCAGGCAAAAUUCUGGAAGAAGAAAUGACUAGAUAUGCAUAUUACUACUCAGGAUUGGGUGCUGGAGUUCUUGUUGCUGCCUAUAUACAAGUUUCAUUUUGGACUUUGGCAGCUGGUCGACAGAUCAGGAAAAUUAGGCAGAAGUUUUUUCAUGCUAUUCUACGACAGGAAAUAGGAUGGUUUGACAUCAACGACACCACUGAACUCAAUACGCGGCUAACAGAUGACAUCUCCAAAAUCAGUGAAGGAAUUGGUGACAAGGUUGGAAUGUUCUUUCAAGCAGUAGCCACGUUUUUUGCAGGAUUCAUAGUGGGAUUCAUCAGAGGAUGGAAGCUCACCCUUGUGAUAAUGGCCAUCAGCCCUAUUCUAGGACUCUCUGCAGCCGUUUGGGCAAAGAUACUCUCGGCAUUUAGUGACAAAGAACUAGCUGCUUAUGCAAAAGCAGGCGCCGUGGCAGAAGAGGCUCUGGGGGCCAUCAGGACUGUGAUAGCUUUCGGGGGCCAGAACAAAGAGCUGGAAAGGUAUCAGAAACAUUUAGAAAAUGCCAAAGAGAUUGGAAUUAAAAAAGCUAUUUCAGCAAACAUUUCCAUGGGUAUUGCCUUCCUGUUAAUAUAUGCAUCAUAUGCACUGGCCUUCUGGUAUGGAUCCACUCUAGUCAUAUCAAAAGAAUAUACUAUUGGAAAUGCAAUGACAGUUUUUUUUUCAAUCCUAAUUGGAGCUUUCAGUGUUGGCCAGGCUGCCCCAUGUAUUGAUGCUUUUGCCAAUGCAAGAGGAGCAGCAUAUGUGAUCUUUGAUAUUAUUGAUAAUAAUCCUAAAAUUGACAGUUUUUCAGAGAGAGGACACAAACCAGACAGCAUCAAAGGGAAUUUGGAGUUCAAUGAUGUUCACUUUUCUUACCCUUCUCGAGCUAACGUCAAGAUCUUGAAGGGCCUCAACCUGAAGGUGCAGAGUGGGCAGACGGUGGCCCUGGUUGGAAGUAGUGGCUGUGGGAAGAGCACAACGGUCCAGCUGAUACAGAGGCUCUAUGACCCUGAUGAGGGCACAAUUAACAUUGAUGGGCAGGAUAUUAGGAACUUUAAUGUAAACUAUCUGAGGGAAAUCAUUGGUGUGGUGAGUCAGGAGCCGGUGCUGUUUUCCACCACAAUUGCUGAAAAUAUUUGUUAUGGCCGUGGAAAUGUAACCAUGGAUGAGAUAAAGAAAGCUGUCAAAGAGGCCAACGCCUAUGAGUUUAUCAUGAAAUUACCACAGAAAUUUGACACCCUGGUUGGAGAGAGAGGGGCCCAGCUGAGUGGUGGGCAGAAGCAGAGGAUCGCCAUUGCACGUGCCCUGGUUCGCAACCCCAAGAUCCUUCUGCUGGAUGAGGCCACGUCAGCAUUGGACACAGAAAGUGAAGCUGAGGUACAGGCAGCUCUGGAUAAGGCCAGAGAAGGCCGGACCACCAUUGUGAUAGCACACCGACUGUCUACGGUCCGAAAUGCAGAUGUCAUCGCUGGGUUUGAGGAUGGAGUAAUUGUGGAGCAAGGAAGCCACAGCGAACUGAUGAAGAAGGAAGGGGUGUACUUCAAACUUGUCAACAUGCAGACAUCAGGAAGCCAGAUCCAGUCAGAAGAAUUUGAACUAAAUGAUGAAAAGGCUGCCACUAGAAUGGCCCCAAAUGGCUGGAAAUCUCGCCUAUUUAGGCAUUCUACUCAGAAAAACCUUAAAAAUUCACAAAUGUGUCAGAAGAGCCUUGAUGUGGAAACCGAUGGACUUGAAGCAAAUGUGCCACCAGUGUCCUUUCUGAAGGUCCUGAAACUGAAUAAAACAGAAUGGCCCUACUUUGUCGUGGGAACAGUAUGUGCCAUUGCCAAUGGGGGGCUUCAGCCGGCAUUUUCAGUCAUAUUCUCAGAGAUCAUAGCGGGUUUCACGUUUGGGAAAGCUGGCGAGAUCCUCACCAGAAGACUGCGGUCAAUGGCUUUUAAAGCAAUGCUAAGACAGGACAUGAGCUGGUUUGAUGACCAUAAAAACAGUACUGGUGCACUUUCUACAAGACUUGCCACAGAUGCUGCCCAAGUCCAAGGAGCCACAGGAACCAGGUUGGCUUUAAUUGCACAGAAUAUAGCUAACCUUGGAACUGGUAUUAUCAUAUCAUUUAUCUACGGUUGGCAGUUAACCCUAUUGCUAUUAGCAGUUGUUCCAAUUAUUGCUGUGUCAGGAAUUGUUGAAAUGAAAUUGUUGGCUGGAAAUGCCAAAAGAGAUAAAAAAGAACUGGAAGCUGCUGGAAAGAUUGCAACAGAGGCAAUAGAAAAUAUUAGGACAGUUGUGUCUUUGACCCAGGAAAGAAAAUUUGAAUCAAUGUAUGUUGAAAAAUUGUAUGGACCUUACAGGAAUUCUGUGCAGAAGGCACACAUCUAUGGAAUUACUUUUAGUAUCUCACAAGCAUUUAUGUAUUUUUCCUAUGCCGGUUGUUUUCGAUUUGGUGCAUAUCUCAUUGUGAAUGGACAUAUGCGCUUCAGAGAUGUUAUUCUGGUGUUUUCUGCAAUUGUAUUUGGUGCAGUGGCUCUAGGACAUGCCAGUUCAUUUGCUCCAGACUAUGCUAAAGCUAAGCUGUCUGCAGCCCACUUAUUCAUGCUGUUUGAAAGACAACCUCUGAUUGACAGCUACAGUGAAGAGGGGCUGAAGCCUGAUAAAUUUGAAGGAAAUAUAACAUUUAAUGAAGUCGUGUUCAACUAUCCCACCCGAGCAAACGUGCCAGUGCUUCAGGGGCUGAGCCUGGAGGUGAAGAAAGGCCAGACACUAGCCCUGGUGGGCAGCAGUGGCUGUGGGAAGAGCACGGUGGUCCAGCUCCUGGAGCGGUUCUACGACCCCUUGGCGGGGACAGUGUUUGUGGACUUUGGUUUUCAGCUUCUCGAUGGUCAAGAAGCAAAGAAACUCAAUGUCCAGUGGCUCAGAGCUCAACUCGGAAUCGUGUCUCAGGAGCCUAUCCUAUUUGACUGCAGCAUUGCCGAGAAUAUUGCCUAUGGAGACAACAGCCGGGUUGUAUCACAGGAUGAAAUUGUGAGUGCAGCCAAAGCUGCCAACAUACAUCCUUUCAUCGAGACGUUACCCCACAAAUAUGAAACAAGAGUGGGAGAUAAGGGGACUCAGCUCUCAGGAGGUCAAAAACAGAGGAUUGCUAUUGCCCGAGCCCUCAUCAGACAACCUCAAAUCCUCCUGUUGGAUGAAGCUACAUCAGCUCUGGAUACUGAAAGUGAAAAGGUUGUCCAAGAAGCCCUGGACAAAGCCAGAGAAGGCCGCACCUGCAUUGUGAUUGCUCACCGCCUGUCCACCAUCCAGAAUGCAGACUUAAUAGUGGUGUUUCAGAAUGGGAGAGUCAAGGAGCAUGGCACGCAUCAGCAGCUGCUGGCACAGAAAGGCAUCUAUUUUUCAAUGAUCAAUUUAGAAGACCCAAUUUGGGGUUUAUUACGGCAUUUGAAAUUUGAGAGUUAGAAGUGACACCUGUCUUGAUGAAGUAUUGAAACAACAGGCUAGCUCUCCCUAAGUUAUUAGAAACAUCCAGAAAAAGAACAAAAUUCAAGCUCUAACUACCAGUUUACAAGACAUACAGGAGACUGAGCAACAUGUUAAAUAUCACCAUGGGAAUACAAUCAGGAAAAUUCAGAAAACUCUACAGGAUAAAUGACCCAGUUUCUUCAUCAAAUCAAAUACAAUAAGAGAAAGGCAACCAAGCACCACUUUGUAGUGGUUUGAAUGAGACUGAUUCUACCCACUAGAUUCCAAGGUUGGGCAUGUGACCCAGGCCAAGCUCAUCCAAGCACCUGAUUCCCCAGGAUGGGGACAUGAAUCACACAGGCCAAUCACAACUGAUGAGGAUUAUUCCAGGACUUUUGCUGUAACCAUUGGAAACAAAGAAGCUGACUAUUUCCUUUGGGAGUCUAUGAAGAAAGCUAUGAAGAUAUGAGACUGUUGGUACAACAAUCACAUUGGGCAGUCUACCUAAAUAUGAGGCCAAACAAAAGAAAGCAGUACCAAAAAAUGGGGAGAGAUUUCUAAUGAAAGCAUUUGAACAUUGAAGUCAGCUUUACCCAAAUUUAGCUAACUCCUUGCCAACAAAUAUCUUCUUACGCUAACGCUAGUUUGAUUUAGGUUUCUAUCACCUAAACCUGAAUAUGGAUUAAUACAACUACUGAACCCUUUUUUUUUUUUUUUUGGAGUCGGAGUCUCAGUCUGUUUCCCAGGCUGAAGUGCACUGGCCCAAACACUGUUCACUGCACCCUCAACCUCCCAGGUUCAAGCGAUCCUCCUAGACCUCAGCCUCCCAAGUAGCUGGGAUCACAGGCGCACAACACCAUGUGAGGCUAAUUUUUGUAUUUUUUGUAGAGACGGGGUUUCAUGCCAUUGCCCAGACCAGUCUCCAUCUCCUGGGCUCAAGUGAUUCACCUGCCUUGGCCUCCCAAAGUGCUGGGAUUACAGGUAUCAGCCAUCAUACCCAGCCCCAAACCCCUUUAUAAAAAAUUUUCUUGGUUCAUAGACCUCCUGAAUGCCUAUCAGACAGUUAGUAGACAGCUAGUGAAGAUGUCCAUGGGAGGGGAACAGAGGAGAAGCAAGAAAAGUUGUUCAUUUUUUAUGAAAAUGGUCAAAAUGGUAGUAACUGCCAUUUUAAUAUCCACAGCCUAAAUAGUGUUCCAAAGAUUAUGUGUCAUUUUAGGAAAAUAGUUACCUAGUUACUAGGUGAAUCUUGAACUCUAUAAAUAUAUCCAUAUGCAUUGCUCUGCAUAGAACACAUACAUAAUGCCAUAUAAUACCUUUUGAAAUAGGUAUUCUCAGCAAGCAGAUAAUACUGGGUUUUAAGAGCUUAUAUUACAUAAAUAUUAUAUGCAAAUCCCAUUUUGCAGAUAUAGUACACAACAAACUGUUGGCCUUACUACAGAAGAAAAUAACUUGUCCUAUACUUUCAAUGAGAAUUCAUAACUAAACUUUUCACCACAGUGCCAUAAAACUAAAUUACUAUUCACUUACACUGUUCCCCAGCACAAGUAUUUAUGGUUUAUUGUCAUUAAUUUAACCUAAAAGAUCAAAAGAGAAAAAUUUCAGUAGUUUACUUACAUCACAAUUACAGCCAAAUACUCCAUUAGAAAAGGAAAUCAAGUUAUAGGAUUUGUCACCCCAGCGUACUGUUGGAUCUCCAAUAAGGAUGGCUGCAAUAAUCUAAAAUAAAUUUAAUUUUUCCAAAUUAAAAGGGUUUAAUAUUGGUUUGUAAGAAUUUACAUCUUAAACACAUAUAUCAUCUCACCAUUCCUCUUCACGUCAACCAAAUUUAAUAAAAUCAUAAUAUAGUUAUGAUCAGCAACACUGAUAUGUGAUAUGCAAAGUCAAGAGAGAGUAAUUCUGGCCCUGACUUUAGGGGCUUCUCAAAAUCUCAAGUUAAGAAAAUCCUACCAGAAAAGAAAAUGCUGGUACAAUAUUCAUGAAUGUUUACAGAACAUAGAAUUGAGAGGAUAAGGGUUUUGUAACUUGAAUAGGAUAAAAGAUCUUGAUAAAAGUUUAGUCAUUAAAGUCUAGUUAGGAGGAAAUAUUUUAAGAAUUCGUUUCCUACUAAACCUGUUUUUCAAACUGUAUACUUUGGCCUAUUAAUGGAUCAUGAAAUUAACUCAGUGCAUCAUAAUCAAUAUUCCUUACAAAAAAGGAGAAUAAAAUAGACUGGAAAUAUCAGUGUACCUCACAGACAAUAAAAGUAAUUAGUGCUCUGUGAAACUCCUAUUUUAUAUAUGUGUUUGCAUGCAUAUACACAUGUAUAUAUAGUGGGCUGCAAUCUAAAUGUAUUUGUAACUAAAAAUUGUGGUCAAAAAACUUUGAACAACACUGCAUUAAAAUACAUUCUUCCUUAAAAAGAAGUCUGGUGAUUCUCAAAAAAAAAAAAAAAUCUCUCUCCUUGCUACAAGGUUUUCCAAUCCUUGAUAUUUUUUCCUAUUAUUUAAUACCGAUUAAUUCACUAUAAAAUAAUUAAGUAUUUUCAAAAGACUAUGAGAUUUCUAAUACAAUUACUAUCUUUUAUUAUUUCCUGGGACACAAAUGUCACCCUGGGGGUGGCAGGGGAGCAUAAAAUAAGGCCAUAUUUACCCUUAACGUCACUGACAUCAAUGUGUUCAGCAAUUAACCAAAUGAUAAAAUAAAUGACUUACAAGGGUGACAUAAUUCUUAGGAGACACAGUCCCAACUAUGGUGUCAAGAUACACUAGUGCAGGUUAUGAUUAGGUUAUCAUUUCACCUUUGGCAAGAAAAGCUCAUUAACCUAGUGCUCUGUGUAAAUUUUCUGAGUAGGCAAGCAAUGAAAAGGUUGAGCAACACUGAUAUGUGAUAUGCAAAGUCAUACUUCUUUAAACAAAGUAUAAUAUAUAGCUAAACAAACUUAAACAAUGUGGCAAGGAUUUACCAAUUUACUAUCUACUUUAUAAGCUUCAAUUUGGCACAAGUAUAUUGUAUAACUAAGAAAAAGUUUCAAGAGCCUAAAGGUAGAAAAAGAAAAAAAACUUCCAUGUUCAAUAAAUAUGAGUCUUCCAGAAAAAUCUGCAAUAAAAAAAAAAAGAGAAGGUAGUUAAGUACCUCAGAAUAAUCCUCUGGUGUUACAUGUGGACUGCUAUCCUCCAUGGAAUAUACCAGUAAACUACUCUGAAUUUUUUCUAACAAAGCCAAGUUCUCUGGAUCAAGACCAAUCAGAUAUUCUCGUGCCUAAAGGGCAAGGAGAUGAUGAUCAAAUAUUACAACUGAAAUACAAUACAUCAAAAGAGUUUGUUAGAGAAAAGCUUCGUUAAGAAAAGUGUAAAUCAGAACCUUAGCCCAUCGAGUUCGCUCCUCACUAGUUAAUGCUGCAAUCCCAGGUCCAUCAGGUUCACUAUGGCACUUCUUGUGGAUAUAUGUCAGUUGUCUUAUGGAAGAUGAAAAGAAGAUUAAAAAAGAGUACAGGCAGAAAGUAACUACUUUGGCCUUUAAAAGGUCAUAACAUUGAUCAAUAUUUAAAUGUUUGGAUAUAUUACCCAAAGAAACCACUUAUGAUGCCAAUAGAUUUCCUACAUCACAUAUUUUUUUAAGUGAUUGUGUUCUAUUAACACCAAAAGCAUAUUUGACAAUAAUUUAAUUUCAGUAAAUAAAUUUAGUUAUUGGCUAAAUUUAGUUUCGCUGAUAUAUACUUUGGAAAUGUGCAUGCACUUCUAGGUUGCAAGUAAAUAUCCUUUUUACUGUAAAUAUCCUUACAAUGGAGAACUUGAAAAAUAUCCUGGUAAUCAAUUUCACAAAUAUAAUGUACAUCUUAUCUAACUAAAAUCUAUGUGCGUAUAUAUUUAACCAGAGGACUUACUGUAUACUCAAUUAAUAUUUGUGUUUUACCAAAAAAAAAUAGAAAUACCAUAUAAUCAGUUUUAACUAUUUUCAUAUGUGCCACUUUGUUACUUCUAAUCAUUAUAUUUUUAAAGACUCUAUUAGCUAAGGAUAAACUACUCCCCCUCCACAGUAUUUUAUGCUCCUAGAUUGGUGAAUUUCAUGUAUCUUUAAACAUACAGCAGAUAAAUAACUGGGUUCUCCCAUAAAGAAAUUUACAUCAGUCAAAAAUCCACAGAGCUUUAAUUUAGCUCAAUUUCAUGGCACAUGUUAAGAAAUUACUUCAAUUUAAAAGCUUUCAAGGAUUUCUCAGGAAGUGAGCUAAUGUAGCUUAAUAAAUGGUCAAAAAAUGCUACUAGUAGCCAUCAGUUCUGACUUCAUCAUUCAAAAUUGGAAUUCAUCAUUUAUCUACUGAUUUGCAUACUCUCCUCUGUUUGUUCAUUAUAUCUGUAACACUGAUAAAGAAAUACAUUUCUUGCUGAAAAAUUCCCCCCUUGUUAUUUGCAAAUUAAUGGUGUCCUGAGGAACAGAAUAAGGGUUUCUUCACCAAUCUGCAUCUAUAGCAGAGCAACUUGCUUUGCCUCUCUUCCUGCUUACUUUCUUUAGUAACUACUGAUUUUGCUCCAAUUAUAAGUAAAGCUUUUGCAGUUGUGGUUACUAGCAUAAACUCUGAAUUUCUAAAUAAAAUCAACCUGUUUCUCUCCA
RNA transcript from Homo sapiens (human), 8633 nucleotides. It is a transcript of the gene named ATP binding cassette subfamily B member 4, with no coding region annotated. Lineage: Eukaryota; Metazoa; Chordata; Mammalia; Primates; Hominidae. The record is from RefSeq and is marked reviewed. The transcript is spliced from 30 exons.